AUUGAACGCUGGCGGCAGGCCUAACACAUGCAAGUCGAGCGGAUGAAGGGAGCUUGCUCCUGGAUUCAGCGGCGGACGGGUGAGUAAUGCCUAGGAAUCUGCCUGGUAGUGGGGGAUAACGUCCGGAAACGGGCGCUAAUACCGCAUACGUCCUGAGGGAGAAAGUGGGGGAUCUUCGGACCUCACGCUAUCAGAUGAGCCUAGGUCGGAUUAGCUAGUUGGUGGGGUAAAGGCCUACCAAGGCGACGAUCCGUAACUGGUCUGAGAGGAUGAUCAGUCACACUGGAACUGAGACACGGUCCAGACUCCUACGGGAGGCAGCAGUGGGGAAUAUUGGACAAUGGGCGAAAGCCUGAUCCAGCCAUGCCGCGUGUGUGAAGAAGGUCUUCGGAUUGUAAAGCACUUUAGGUUGAGAGGAAGGGCAGUAAGUUAAUACCUUGCUGUUUUGACGUUACCAACAGAAUAAGCACCGGCUAACUUCGUG
RNAcentral lists this ribosomal RNA (484 nucleotides) under uncultured bacterium. RNAcentral describes it as "partial 16S ribosomal RNA". It matches the Rfam family "Bacterial small subunit ribosomal RNA", at positions 30 to 507 of the family's 1533-position model. The record is from RNAcentral.